AUGCCCCAGCCCAACGGCUUCUCAGGAGCCUCCAGUGCCCCCCUGGGCAUCGGCCCUUGGUCCUGCCUGGCCAUUCACUUUGCUGGGCUGUGUCCCACCUCUAAUAAACAUCCCUGUUUGUUCCAGACAUACACUGGAAACUUUGCCUACCGGGUGCAGCCUGUGCUUUCUGAACAAACACUGCACACCAUUCUGGGCAGGCUGGGCUAUGUGGCUACCUCUGAGGCAGAGUUUUCGCUGGUCCAGGCCAUCAGCAAGGAGGACGCCGAGCAGAUGGUGUUUGAAAUCUUCGUGGCGAGAGUUACAUGUGAGGCCAUUCUGGGGACCUCGAGCAGGCAGGUCCUGGGACUGGGCAGAGAGAAACCCUACCGCAGGCGCAGCUCCAAGAGAAAGCUGGCGAAGGCCCACAACUGCCCCGAGGGGGCCCAGCCAGGCCCCCAAGAAGGGCUGGGAUCUGAGAGGGCCCUGGCUGAGGGCCCUGACCAUCAGAGCACUGUGCCAACGGCCCCAAGCCUGUCUGAGGUCUCAACAUCCCCCCGCACCCUCCGUGCCGGCCCCCAGCUCCCCCUGGACUCCCAGCACCGUGCCAGCACACGCUCGGACAGUGAGGAGUUCUUGACCUGCUACAGUGACCUUGUUCUGCACCGGACACCCCUGUUCCCCAGGGACUUUCCCCUGCGCGGCCUGAAGGGAGACCAAGCCCAGGGCCCAGCCCUGGCUCCCAGCCCACCUGCAGGUGAAGCGCUCACCUCCUUGGGCAGCAGCGGUGAGUGGUCCCUGGUCCCCAAUGCAGCUCCUGAGAGCAGAGUGGUCAUCAUCCCCAAGCAGCCCCGGCUGACACCAGGCCCCCAGUUGUCAGGGAAACCCUUGGACCCAAAGCCAGAAGCACAGCCGGAGCCGACCGCCCCUGACGCAGACACUGUUUCUCCAAACACUUCCUCUGAGUUGGACGAGCUCUGUGAACACCUCUCCCACCUCCUCAGACCCCCAACUCUAGCAGACCAUCCUGGGGGCCUCCCAGGCCCUGGGGUUGAGGACACUAGACAAUCAGAACCUCUCACGGGGCCAGAGCCAGCCGCUGAGGCCGGGGGCCCAGACAGUAGGAUCACCCAACUCUGGAGGCCUACUCAAAACCCCCUCAUGUAUGAGGGCCCCCGACACUAUGUUCCCCCAGGGGAGCUGGAGGGGCCAGUUCUGACCCAAGAACACCACCCAGGCAAUAGCUAA
RNAcentral lists this long non-coding RNA (1227 nucleotides) under Felis catus (domestic cat). RNAcentral describes it as "lncRNA (ENSFCAG00000049985.1)". The record is from RNAcentral. Lineage: Eukaryota; Metazoa; Chordata; Mammalia; Carnivora; Felidae.